This is a non-coding RNA of Hydra vulgaris (swiftwater hydra), 2162 nucleotides long. The record is from RefSeq and is a predicted model, not a curated record. Lineage: Eukaryota; Metazoa; Cnidaria; Hydrozoa; Anthoathecata; Hydridae.
UCACGAUUGUGGUGAAACAAGUUAGUGGGCGGUUGUUUACUUUACCAUAAAAAUGUCUUAACUUUAUUUUAACGAUCUUUAAAAUUUGCAUAAAUAGAGUAAAUAUUUUAUCAUUGCUAUUGAGAAAUAGGUACUGCAUAAAUAGAACUUGUUUUUAGUUGAGUAUGGAACAAAACAAAUAUUUUUAUGAAAACUGUUGUUGCUUUUCAAAAGGAAAUUGUGGAUCAUUCAAAAAACAUAAAAUUAUAAACAAAAUGUUCUACAUUCAUCAGCUGGGAGAUGUUGAUGUUAAGAAACACCUCAUCAACUUAAAGGUCAUGCGAUUAAACGAUAAUAAUAUUUGGGAAGAAAAUGGACUUAUUGCAAAUAGACUUAAAAGAAAUCUUGAAAAGGAUGAACAAAUAUGUGCUUUUCACCGGUACACGUUUGGUAUUGCAUGGAGUCCUCCAAAAACAUGCUUUCAUCCUCACCAUCUAAAUAUAAAAGGAAAAAAAUCUCCCGCUUUAAGGGCGUCAUCAAUACAUGUCGUCAUAUCAAUGUCAAAGCGAUACAAAGAAGUAUUUUCAGUUAGUGCAAUGCUGUGUUUUACCCAUUUAAAGCAAGAAACUGCUUUAUCUAGAGUCAACGAAAACACCAAUUUAUGUACAGAAACGCAAACACAACAAGAACAAACAUAUAUGACACCUGCUACUCCAGAUGAAGAAUUUGAUCCCAGUGAAAUUAAUGUUUCACAGGAGAUUUUGGACGAAUCUCUAAGAAGCCGUGAGAGUGUAACUGAGGUUCUUAAUGCAAUAAUCUUUUGACUGCUGAAGAUAUACACAAGGCUAUGCAUUAUAGUUUUAGCGCUAAAGAUGCAAAAGUAGCAGUUGCUCAAAUUAGCAAUGAUAAAACUGUAGUUACUGGACCAAAGAUUAAGAACAUUAGCAACUAUCACUCAUUUGAGUUUGGUGAGAAAAGUAUGAAGAUGUGGCGUUAUUUCAAUAUCGGUGAGGGAAUUGAACAAGAGUAUGGAAAUCUUAAAAUUCAACCCUCGAUUAAGUUGUUGUUGCCACAUAGCAAAACAGAUAAUUCAAUUAAGCGUAACAAGUCACUUAAGGAAAAACAGAAAAGAAGUGACAAUUAUAUUCAUUAAGAUUUUGCACUGAAAUAAAUUGUACUUUAUCAUUUGAAAGCGAUGCUGAGUUAGAAGAACACAUGCUAUCCGGUCUUCAUACAGUUCCGAAAUCAUUAACAUCAUUGGAUAAAGUUCGCAACUCGUUUGUUCAUAAGAUGAAAAUUACUUCACAACUAAAUAUGCCAAUUUCUUCAGUGCUUCCGUAAAAGACAAACCACAUUGCAUGAACAUUUUUCUAUUGCAAGGUUGGGCAUUACCAGUUCGAAGUUCUUUUAGAUUUUCAAAUCAGCAGAAAGAACUGUUGUAUAAAUACUUUAUUCGUGGAGAAGAAUCAGGUAAUAAAAUAAGCCCUGAGCAAGUUCACAUGCAGCUGAGGAGAGAACUUCCGCCUGAUCAAUAUGUAACUAGCCAACAGAUAAGAUCUUUAUUUUCAAGAUUUAGUAACCUGAAAAGAAAAGGUGCGCUAGUAGAACCGACAACAGAAAAUGAUGAAAAUAGUCAGGUUAACGAUAAAAAAGAAGUUUAUAGCGAAAAUAAUGACUUUAAUCUGACAGGAGACAAUGAAGAUGAUAAUAAAUAUGAGGAAGACAUCGCCAAUCUUGCAAAAGAAAUUUGUCCUGUAUGGAAAGUGAAUGAUUGGGUUGCUGUUGCAUAUGAAAAACAAUGGAAUAUUGGAUAUAUUGUGGAGGUAUCUAUAACUGGGAUCAGAGUUAAUUGUAUGAUUAACGGGCAAGAGAAGAAUACUUUUCGCUGGCCAGUUACUACCGAGGAGAUAAAUAACCAAACUGAUAAAAUUAUCUGUUUAGUAAAUGCUCCUUUUCUAAUCAGCGGUUGUGGCGAUUAUUCAUUAUCCGAAGAAGACUAUAAUACAGUCAUAUCAUUAUUCUUAGAGAAACUUACUGCAGCAGAGUAGAAAUUAUGUGUGAUGUGGUGGAUAAUGUGUGUAAAUGACUCUAUUAAUAAAUGAAAAACUAAUUUUUAAAUGGAAAAACAUUUAAAUGUUUGAUUUAUGUUUUAUUUAAUUAGCAAUAUAGUUAUCUUGAUGUUA